RNAcentral lists this long non-coding RNA (692 nucleotides) under Hordeum vulgare. RNAcentral's name for it is "long non-coding RNA (HVUL_LNC015788)". The record is from RNAcentral. Lineage: Eukaryota; Viridiplantae; Streptophyta; Magnoliopsida; Poales; Poaceae.
AGAGAAGGAAGCGCUUUAGUGAGCUUCGGUUUUGAGAGAGGCCACCGACAAGGUUCCUACCAUUGCAAUCAAUGGAGGGGAUGAUCGGAGUUAUCCGAGAUGGAGGAGGGACCAAAGGGGCAGUGGGGGCACGUGGAGGAGGGACCAAAGGGACGAAGGGGAGCUCAAGUGCGACUCGGAUUCCCUCGGGCACCAAGGAUGUGUGUGGUUGGGCUCCCUUGGCAGCAUCCUCGCAUCGGGGAGGGGCAUGGGUUGUUGAGGGGGAUCCCCUGGCGCACGCCGGUUCUCUGUCGAGGCAUGACAUUUUCCAAGGAAACUCUAUGGUUGGGAAAUGUUGGCUAACUCGUGAGGAAUGUACGCAGGAGACCACUGGUUAAGUUUCAUUGCCUAUGGUACUAGGUGGGGGUGGAUUGCAGUAAUGUUAAGUUUGCAGUAGCAAACUUGAGGGCUAACAAAAGGGUUUUCACGGGAGGGAAUUUGAUAGAACACCUUGUCCAAUGGUUUUAUGUAGGGAAGGACUACAUGACCACCAAAUAUCAUCCAUGGGAGACCAGGGAACAAGGUACUUGUAGUAGAAUGCUAUAUUUGAUGCCAAAACUUAGUUUUAGAGGAACUGCUCAUUAUUUUCAUAUGUGCAUGCCAUGUUUGGGUGUGGCUAGAUGCAUUAACAUGCAAGAGAGGUUGUGGGAGAG